Molecule: ribosomal RNA, 440 nt
Filed under: uncultured bacterium
Lineage: Bacteria
Description: partial 16S ribosomal RNA
Rfam family: Bacterial small subunit ribosomal RNA
Source: RNAcentral
CCUACGGGUGGCAGCAGUGGGGGAUAUUGCACAAUGGGGGAAACCCUGAUGCAGCGAAGUCGCGUGAGGGAAGAAGUAUUUCGGUAUGUAAAGCUCUAUCAGCAGGGAAGAAAAUGACAGUACCUGACCAAGAAGCCACGGCUAACUACAUGCCAGCAGCCGCGGUAAUACGUAGGGGGCAAGGGUUAUCCGGAUUUACUGGGUGUAAUGGGAGCGUAGACGGUUAGUUAAGUCUGGAGUGAAAGCCCGGGGCCCAACCCCGGGACUGCUUUGGAAACUGGGUAACUGGAGUACAGGAGGGGCAGGCGGAAUUCCUGGUGUAGCGGUGAAAUGCGUAGAUAUCAGGAGGAACCCCGGCGGCGAAGGCGGCCUGCUGGACUGAAACUGACGUUGAGGCUCGAAAGCGUGGGGAGCAAACAGGAUUAGAUACCCUGGUAGUC